CAGUAGCGUAUAUUAAAGUUGUUGCAGUUAAAAAGCUCGUAGUUGGAUCUCGGGUGAUUCCAGGGGGUUCUGGUCCUAUUGGGGCCUGUCUACUCUCUGGAGUACCUAAAUGGCGGGCUCUCUGACCUGGGUGCCCUUAGCUGGGUUGCCCAUGUCACCCGCUCCAUUUACUUUGAAAAAAUUAGAGUGUUCAAGGCAGGUUUGUCUACCUGAAUAAUGGUGCAUGGAAUAAUAGAAUAGGAUCUCGGUUCUAUUUUGUUGGUUUUCGGAACUAGAGAUAAUGAUUAAGAGGGACAGACGGGGGCGUUCGUAUUGCGGUGUUAGAGGUGAAAUUCUUGGAUCGCCGCAAGACGAACUACUGCGAAAGCAUUUGCCAAGAAUGUUUUCAUUAA
This 392-nucleotide ribosomal RNA is filed under the name uncultured eukaryote. RNAcentral's name for it is "partial 18S ribosomal RNA". It matches the Rfam family "Eukaryotic small subunit ribosomal RNA", at positions 592 to 976 of the family's 1831-position model. The record is from RNAcentral.